This 254-nucleotide ribosomal RNA is filed under the name uncultured bacterium. Its description in RNAcentral is "partial 16S ribosomal RNA". It matches the Rfam family "Bacterial small subunit ribosomal RNA", at positions 524 to 776 of the family's 1533-position model. The record is from RNAcentral.
UACGGGGGGGGGCAAGCGUUGUUCGGAAUUACUGGGCGUAAAGGGCUCGUAGGCGGCCAACUAAGUCGGACGUGAAAUCCCUCGGCUUAACCGGGGAACUGCGUCUGAUACUGGAUGGCUUGAGGUUGGGAGAGGGAUGCGGAAUUCCAGGUGUAGCGGUGAAAUGCGUAGAUAUCUGGAGGAACACCGGUGGCGAAGGCGGCAUCCUGGACCAAUUCUGACGCUGAGGAGCGAAAGCCAGGGGAGCAAACGGG